RNAcentral lists this ribosomal RNA (253 nucleotides) under uncultured prokaryote. RNAcentral describes it as "partial 16S ribosomal RNA". It matches the Rfam family "Bacterial small subunit ribosomal RNA", at positions 524 to 776 of the family's 1533-position model. The record is from RNAcentral.
UACGUAGGGUGCGAGCGUUAAUCGGAAUUACUGGGCGUAAAGUGUGCGCAGGCGGCCGAGCAAGUCGAGUGUGAAAGCCCCGGGCUUAACUUGGGAAUUGCGCUCGAAACUACUUGGCUGGAGUGUGGCAGAGGAAGGUGGAAUUCCACGUGUAGCGGUGAAAUGCGUAGAUAUCAGGAGGAACACCUGUGGUGUAGACAGCUUACUGGACCACUUCUGACGCUGAGACACGAAAGCGUGGGUAGCAAACAGG